GCAGCCGGCCCAGGGGAGUUGACCCGGAAGAUGAGGGCGCCGUCGACGUACCCGCAGAACGGGCCGUUGGUGACGAGGGUGAGGAUGUCCUGGAGCUUGAGAGGGGGGCAGAGGGCGUCGAUCAGAUACUGGGUGGAGAGGGUGAGCUUGUGGUUGCCUUUGGGGAGCUCUAUGUGGUACCAGAAAAACUCGCGGCCGCGGCCAUCCGCUAGA
This 213-nucleotide unclassified non-coding RNA is filed under the name Hevea brasiliensis (rubber tree). The record is from RNAcentral. Lineage: Eukaryota; Viridiplantae; Streptophyta; Magnoliopsida; Malpighiales; Euphorbiaceae.